CCUUUUUUCAAAACACAAAAUGUGCUCGCGGUCGUGCUCGUCCAGUUAAAUUUACGCAUUUUCGCCGGUUUUUCGACAGUACAAUUCGUAAAAGUGCUCCCAAAAUGUAUCGAAUGCUUAGCCUAAGAAGCCUUUCUAGAAAUAAGAACAAACUGCUGGCCAACAAGACCAGCGUGGUGCGACUUAAUCCGGAACUGAUCUGCUUCCAGAAUUUUUCUCAUUUAUGUAACCAGCAACUGGGAGGAUUGGCAACCGAGGAAAUUGCACUCCUCAGAAACGAUGUUUCUUCAAUAAAGUAUGACAUUAUCAAACGUGUUCACUCAACAACUCCAACGCCUGAAAUGCUGGAACUUUCAAGCAAGAAAAAA
Aedes aegypti (yellow fever mosquito) is the source of this 368-nucleotide long non-coding RNA. RefSeq lists it as uncharacterized. NCBI's taxonomy places the organism in Eukaryota, Metazoa, Arthropoda, Insecta, Diptera, Culicidae. The record is from RefSeq and is a predicted model, not a curated record. The transcript is spliced from 2 exons.